Molecule: long non-coding RNA, 268 nt
Organism: Lagopus leucura (white-tailed ptarmigan)
Lineage: Eukaryota; Metazoa; Chordata; Aves; Galliformes; Phasianidae
Exons: 3
Source: RefSeq, a predicted model, not a curated record
AUUAAGUAGCUCUGCGCCAUGAGCCUCAGAUACUGGAUUUUACUUCCAAAGCUGUAUUGCAUGUCUCCCCAAGUCUGGGGCAACUGGUCCUGUCAAUGAAGAGAGGCUAUUCGGAUGCUACACUCAGCAUAGAUUUCCUGGAACAGAAAUCAACCUUUUCCUGAAAUGCUUUCUUAUUAUCCCAGCUCUCCUCAGAUUGAUGGCAGUCCUGAGAAUUUGCAGUAAGAGAAGCUAUCACUGACUGCAAGUUGGAAAUCACUUCCUAAAC